This is a non-coding RNA of Podarcis lilfordi (Lilford's wall lizard), 77 nucleotides long. The record is from the annotation of a GenBank genome assembly. NCBI's taxonomy places the organism in Eukaryota, Metazoa, Chordata, Lepidosauria, Squamata, Lacertidae.
GCAGCUUAGUGGGAGAGCGUCUGCUUGGCAUGUAGAGGGCCCGGGUUCAAGCCCUAAUGGUGUCCCCAGCUGAGACU